Molecule: ribosomal RNA, 474 nt
Filed under: uncultured bacterium
Lineage: Bacteria
Description: partial 16S ribosomal RNA
Rfam family: Bacterial small subunit ribosomal RNA
Source: RNAcentral
GAUGAACGCUAGCGGCAGGCCUAACACAUGCCAGUCGAGGGAGGAGCUUUCGGGCUUCGACCGGCGUACGGGUGCGUAACGCGUAUACAAUCUGCCUUUCACAUAGGGAUAGCCCGAAGAAAUUUGGAUUAAUACCUAAUGGUAUAUAGAGGUGGCAUCACCUUUAUAUUAAAGCUGAGGCGGUGAAAGAUGAGUAUGCGUUCUAUUAGCUAGUUGGAGAGGUAACGGCUCCCCAAGGCGACGAUAGAUAGGGGUUCUGAGAGGGAUAUCCCCCACACUGGUACUGAGAUACGGACCAGACUCCUACGGGAGGCAGCAGUGAGGAAUAUUGGACAACGGUCGGAAGACUGAUCCAGCCAUGCCGCGUGCAGGAAGACGGCCUUAUGGGUUGUAAACUGCUUUUGCAGGGGAAGAAUAAGGACUACGCGUAGUUUGAUGACGGUACUCUGCGAAUAAGCAUCGGCUAACUCCGUG